This 30-nucleotide small RNA is filed under the name Bombyx mori (domestic silkworm). RNAcentral describes it as "ovarian small RNA-31357". The record is from RNAcentral. Lineage: Eukaryota; Metazoa; Arthropoda; Insecta; Lepidoptera; Bombycidae.
UGACACUGCGCAGGUCCUCGGUUAGGACGC